RNAcentral lists this non-coding RNA (69 nucleotides) under unclassified sequences. RNAcentral's name for it is "DUF3800-IX RNA". It matches the Rfam family "DUF3800-IX RNA". Rfam says of the family: Actinobacteria, Firmicutes (1 example), Nitrospirae, Proteobacteria, Verrucomicrobia (1 example). Nearby to DUF3800 The record is from Rfam by way of RNAcentral.
AACCUGUAUCUUGAACUGUCACCGGAUGGUGGCGUGGCUAGGACAUCUAGCAUAGAGACAUGGUUGGAA